CCUACGGGGGGCUGCAGUGGGGAAUAUUGGACAAUGGGCGAAAGCCUGAUCCAGCCAUGCCGCGUGUGUGAAGAAGGCCUUCGGGUUGUAAAGCACUUUCAGUGGGGAAGAAAGCCUUGGGGCUAAUACCCUCGAGGAAGGACAUCACCCACAGAAGAAGCACCGGCUAACUCCGUGCCAGCAGCCGCGGUAAUACGGAGGGUGCGAGCGUUAAUCGGAUUUACUGGGCGUAAAGCGCGCGUAGGCGGUCUGAUAAGCCGGUUGUGAAAGCCCCGGGCUCAACCUGGGAACGGCAUCCGGAACUGUCAGGCUAGAGUGCAGGAGAGGAAGGUAGAAUUCCCGGUGUAGCGGUGAAAUGCGUAGAGAUCGGGAGGAAUACCAGUGGCGAAGGCGGCCUUCUGGACUGACACUGACGCUGAGGUGCGAAAGCGUGGGUAGCAAACAGGAUUAGAUACCCCUGUAGUC
RNAcentral lists this ribosomal RNA (465 nucleotides) under Vreelandella stevensii. RNAcentral describes it as "partial 16S ribosomal RNA". It matches the Rfam family "Bacterial small subunit ribosomal RNA", at positions 338 to 795 of the family's 1533-position model. The record is from RNAcentral. Lineage: Bacteria; Pseudomonadati; Pseudomonadota; Gammaproteobacteria; Oceanospirillales; Halomonadaceae.